UACGGAGGGGGCUAGCGUUGUUCGGAAUUACUGGGCGUAAAGCGCACGUAGGCGGCUUUGUAAGUUAGAGGUGAAAGCCCGGGGCUCAACCCCGGAAUAGCCUUUAAGACUGCAUCGCUUGAACGUCGGAGAGGUGAGUGGAAUUCCGAGUGUAGAGGUGAAAUUCGUAGAUAUCGGGAGGAACACCAGUGGCGAAGGCGACUUCUUGGCCUGUUCUUGACGCUGAGGCGCGAAAGCUGGGGGAGCAAACGGG
RNAcentral lists this ribosomal RNA (253 nucleotides) under uncultured bacterium. Its description in RNAcentral is "partial 16S ribosomal RNA". It matches the Rfam family "Bacterial small subunit ribosomal RNA", at positions 524 to 776 of the family's 1533-position model. The record is from RNAcentral.